This 405-nucleotide ribosomal RNA is filed under the name uncultured Eubacteriales bacterium. RNAcentral's name for it is "bacterial SSU rRNA". It matches the Rfam family "Bacterial small subunit ribosomal RNA", at positions 355 to 774 of the family's 1533-position model. The record is from RNAcentral. Lineage: Bacteria; Bacillati; Bacillota; Clostridia; Eubacteriales.
UCGGGAAUAUUGCGCAAUGGAGGAAACUCUGACGCAGUGACGCCGCGUGCAGGAAGAAGGUUUUCGGAUUGUAAACUGCUUUUAACAGGAAAGAAAAAAAUGACGGUACCUGUUGAAUAAGCUCCGGCUAACUACGUGCCAGCAGCCGCGGUAAUACGUAGGGAGCGAGCGUUAUCCGGAUUUAUUGGGUGUAAAGGGUGCGUAGACGGAAAUGCAAGUUAGUUGUGAAAUACCUCGGCUUAACUGAGGAACUGCAACUAAAACUAUAUUUCUUGAGUAUCGGAGGGGUUUGUGGAAUUCCUAGUGUAGCGGUGAAAUGCGUAGAUAUUAGGAAGAACACCGGUGGCGAAGGCGACAAACUGGACGAUAACUGACGUUGAGGCACGAAAGUGUGGGGAGCAAACA